Molecule: ribosomal RNA, 468 nt
Filed under: uncultured bacterium
Lineage: Bacteria
Description: partial 16S ribosomal RNA
Rfam family: Bacterial small subunit ribosomal RNA
Source: RNAcentral
GACGAACGCUGGCGGCGUGCUUAACACAUGCAAGUCGAACGGAAAGGCCCUGCUUUUGUGGGGUGCUCGAGUGGCGAACGGGUGAGUAACACGUGAGUAACCUGCCCUUGACUUUGGGAUAACUUCAGGAAACUGGGGCUAAUACCGGAUAGGAGCUCCUGCUGCAUGGUGGGGGUUGGAAAGUUUCGGCGGUUGGGGAUGGACUCGCGGCUUAUCAGCUUGUUGGGGGGGUAGUGGCUUACCAAGGCUUUGACGGGUAGCCGGCCUGAGAGGGUGACCGGCCACAUUGGGACUGAGAUACGGCCCAGACUACUACGGGAGGGAGCAGUGGGGAAUAUUGCACAAUGGGCGGAAGCCUGGUGCAGCAACGCCGCGUGCGGGAUGACGGCCUUCGGGUUGUAAACCGCUUUCGCCUGUGACGAAGCGUGAGUGACGGUAAUGGGUAAAGAAGCACCGGCUAACUACGUG